RNAcentral lists this ribosomal RNA (463 nucleotides) under uncultured Acidovorax sp. RNAcentral describes it as "bacterial SSU rRNA". It matches the Rfam family "Bacterial small subunit ribosomal RNA", at positions 917 to 1381 of the family's 1533-position model. Lineage: Bacteria; Pseudomonadati; Pseudomonadota; Betaproteobacteria; Burkholderiales; Comamonadaceae. The record is from RNAcentral.
GACGGGACCGCACAAGCGUGGAUGAUGUGGUUAAUUCGAUGCAACGCGAAAACUUACCACCUUUGACAUGUACGGAAUCCUUUAGAGAUAGAGGAGUGCUCGAAAGAGAGCCGUAACACAGGUGCUGCAUGGCUGUCGUCAGCUCGUGUCGUGAGAUGUUGGGUUAAGUCCCGCAACGAGCGCAACCCUUGUCAUUAGUUGCUACAUUCAGUUGGGCACUCUAAUGAGACUGCCGGUGACAAACCGGAGGAAGGUGGGGAUGACGUCAAGUCCUCAUGGCCCUUAUAGGUGGGGCUACACACGUCAUACAAUGGAUGGUACAAAGGGUCGCCAACCCGCGAGGGGGAGCCAAUCCCAUAAAGCCAUUCGUAGUCCGGAUCGCAGUCUGCAACUCGACUGCGUGAAGUCGGAAUCGCUAGUAAUCGUGGAUCAGAAUGUCACGGUGAAUACGUUCCCGGGUCUU